UGGGGAAUAUUCCGCAAUGGACGAAAGUCUGACGGAGCGACGCCGCGUGAUGGAUGAAGUGCCUUGGUACGUAAACAUCUUUUAUCGGGGACGAAGUUUAUUGACGGUACCCGAUGAAUAAGGAGCUCCUAACUCUGUGCCAGCAGGAGCGGUAAUACAGAGGCUCCAAGCAUUACCCGGAAUCACUGGGCGUAAAGGGCGCGUAGGCGGUGUGUCAAGUCAGUUGUGAAAUCUCCGAGCUUAACUCGGAACGGUCAACUGAUACUGUCACACUAGAGUACAGAAGGGGCAAUCGGAAUUCUUGGUGUAGCGGUGAAAUGCGUAGAUAUCAAGAGGAACACCUGAGGUGAAGACGGGUUGCUGGGCUGACACUGACGCUGAGGCGCGAAAGCCAGGGGAGCAAACGGGAUUAGAUACCCACGUAGUCCCUGAGCGGGC
RNAcentral lists this ribosomal RNA (438 nucleotides) under uncultured bacterium. Its description in RNAcentral is "bacterial SSU rRNA". It matches the Rfam family "Bacterial small subunit ribosomal RNA", at positions 355 to 804 of the family's 1533-position model. The record is from RNAcentral.